RNAcentral lists this ribosomal RNA (253 nucleotides) under uncultured bacterium. Its description in RNAcentral is "partial 16S ribosomal RNA". It matches the Rfam family "Bacterial small subunit ribosomal RNA", at positions 524 to 776 of the family's 1533-position model. The record is from RNAcentral.
UACGUAGGGUGCGAGCGUUGUCCGGAAUUAUUGGGCGUAAAAGGGCUCGUAGGCGGUUUGUCGCGUCGGGAGUGAAAUCCACUGGCUUAACUGGUGGCUUGCUUUCGAUACGGGCAGACUGGAGGUAUGCAGGGGAGAACGAAUUCCUGGUGUAGCGGUGAAAUGCGCAGAUAUCAGGAGGAACACCGGUGGCGAAGGCGGUUCUCUGGGCAUGUCCUGACGCUGAGGAGCGAAAGUGUGGGGAGCGAACAGG